UUCAUGUUGAUUCAGAUGCUAGACUUGCAGUCAGGUAUGUCAUCGACUGCCAUUUGGGAGACUUAUGCUUGCUAUUGGUGUUAAAGCAGCCUGUCCUUAUUUCAUCUCAGAUUUUCCAUCUUCAAAAGCAGGAGUUCGUUUCCUGGGACUGCUUGGAAACGAUGAGAAAGCAUUUGAUAACCUCUAUUGUAUAGCUUUCUGUAUGUUGGAUGCUCAGUGGCUUGCAAGACAUGCUUCUUAUAUGGAGUUCAAUGUAAUUACCUGCUCGCCCUGCAUGUGUGUGUGAGUUUAUUGAUUUUUGCCUCUGAUUUCCAUGUCUUGCUUCGCUCCAGGAGGUUCUGAAGUUCACAAGAAUUCAGUUGGAGCGCGAACUUGCACUGGAAGACGUUACCAGCAUAAAAGACUUGCCUGCAUACAACAUGAUUAUAUAGUCUUUUUUUCAGAUCCAAAUUUGAGCUAUCAAUGCGGGAUUUCGAAGAAUCUUUAUGGAGACCAUCACAAUGCAUAAAACAAACACAAUUGUAAAAAAGGAUAGUGGUGCUGAUUACAAAAAUAAGUUCUUUUCAUCUUUUUAUUUUUAUUUUUUGUAUUUGAAAGGUCAUCUGUUUUCUGCUAAAUAUGAGCAGUAUGUAUUCAACAAAAUUGCUUUAAUGAAGUGACAGGUUGACGAUCGGUGCUCAUUGUAUGAUUGAUAUUAGUCUGUAGUGUGAAACAUUUUGACUUGAUUAUGUUAAUUAAGAGUGCAAUAACUGUUUUUCUUGAAGAUGGAAUAGACACAAAAAAUAUGGCAAAGCAAUUGUCUUAAGGGUUGGAAUGGCAUUAAUGGCAGUGAACAAAUAGCUACAGGAAUGCUAAUGUUAUAAUGGCAAAGAAACACUCAGAAAAUGAUUGAAGACAACCCUAAUGUGAUUAAUAUUCCUAAGGUGGUACCAAAAAUUCAUCAACCUGAAUCAUGCAUUUGAAACCAGUUAUAAUUGAGUCUUGCUGUUGUUUCUCAAAGGUCUUCGUGUACAAGCUAAAACCUGCAGUCAAAAUGGAUUAUGAGCAUAUCAUUAAAGCAUAAAAACUCUUGGCUUGACUAUAGGCAAAACAAUUAAGCAUUAUGUUCUAUAAGUAAAAGUUCUACUUAGAAAAGGUUACCCUAAUAAGCAAGUUAAGACCUUUGGAAUUCAUGACAUUUCCACAUCAUGCUGAAGUGACAUGAUGAAUAUAUGAAUAAUUGAUUGACUACUGAAUAGCUUUAAAUUAGUUCAGUCAUGGAGAAUUAUUUCAAUCAUCAUUCAGUCUCGGGAAAACUCAUGAAGAUUGGUUUCCAUUAGCUUUUUAAUGCUGCUGAGAGAGAGCGAGAGACUUACAGUCCUUUAAGCCAGAUACAGUGAGGUAGCAUCAGCACUAAGAGGGGAUGGAGAAAACCAUGACAUUUGUUGUGUUGCCUCGGCAAAAUUGCAGUCAUGUCUCGAUUUACUAGGUCAAUUGUCAAGCAUGAAGAGGACAAUGCUGCUAAAUCAACCA
This 1512-nucleotide long non-coding RNA is filed under the name Musa acuminata (dwarf banana). RNAcentral describes it as "long non-coding RNA (MACU_LNC002868)". Lineage: Eukaryota; Viridiplantae; Streptophyta; Magnoliopsida; Zingiberales; Musaceae. The record is from RNAcentral.